AACGAACGCUGGCGGCAUGCCUAACACAUGCAAGUCGAACGAUACCUUCGGGUCUAGUGGCGCACUGGUGCGUAACGCGUGGGAACCUUCCCUUAGGUUCGGAAUAACUCCCCGAAAGGGGUGCUAAUACCGGAUAAUGUCUUCGGACCAAAGAUUUAUGGCCUUUGGAUGGGCCCGCGUUGGAUUAGCUAGUUGGUAGGGUAAAAGCCUACCAAGGCGACGAUCCAUAGCUGGUCUGAGAGGAUGAUCAGCCACACUGGGACUGAGACACGGCCCAGACUCCUACGGGAGGCAGCAGUGGGGACUAUUGGACAAUGGGCGAAAGCCUGAUCCAGCAAUGCCGCGUGAGUGAUGAAGGCCUUAGGGUUGUAAAGCUCUUUUACCCGGGAUGAUAAUGACAGUACCGGGAGAAUAAGCGCCGGCUAACUCCGUG
Molecule: ribosomal RNA, 433 nt
Filed under: uncultured bacterium
Lineage: Bacteria
Description: partial 16S ribosomal RNA
Rfam family: Bacterial small subunit ribosomal RNA
Source: RNAcentral